Molecule: long non-coding RNA, 4525 nt
Organism: Syngnathus acus (greater pipefish)
Lineage: Eukaryota; Metazoa; Chordata; Actinopteri; Syngnathiformes; Syngnathidae
Exons: 4
Source: RefSeq, a predicted model, not a curated record
AUAUCGGUGGUUAAUGAUCUAUUAAGUGAUGUGUGUGCUUAUGGGCAGCGGGGAAAAAGUGUCGAUGCUUGCUUAUUCGCCUCCUAAUGAGGCUCCCGUCCUACGGAUUUUAGGACUGAAUAACACGAAAUAAAAUCCGCCUUAAAAUGAUGCGUUGAGGAGUUGAGGCUGCGGAGGCGCAUGAAGCUCACAACAUUCGACAUCUCGCGACUGAGCGGCUCACAUCGCGCUUGUGCCGUGUCACACCUGUAACGCGAGGCCCGGGCAUCAACGAUGGACCCCUGACCGGGUUGGCACACUAUGUGCUCACCUGCGCUGCCAAACUUUUUGGAUCCUUCUGGAUGUUAUCCUUGCAAGGAAUAGCGACCUGCUAUUUUCUCCACUUCUAUUUUUGCACACAAUGUGUGAAUGUGAUCGCUUCACGGUCGUUCUCCGCGAGCCGACACCCGGAGGAAAGCCAAAUUUCAAGGCCGAGGGGCGGGCAGAUGAGCGUUGAAGAGCCGCUGCUUGCGGAGCAUGCUUUUUUUUUUACGCGUGGAAGUAAUUGAGAGGUGGACAUUAUACGGGGCGAGUCCAGUCGGUGAAGGAAGCCAACUCGAGCCGCAUCAGACCCAAUUGACACACAUCAACCACUCUUACAGAAACAAGAGUUGAUGCCACCAACUCAGCGAUUGUCCGUCAGUAUUCGCAGGGUGUCACGGCACAGAGUGACGCACUCUCAGGAGGAGGGUAACAUCAAAUUAAGUAUAAAACAAAUAUAAGUAAUCCCUGUGUGCUUGAAGUAUCCACAGAGCCUCCACUAAUGUGGAAAAGGCACAAUUAGCAGGUACAGUAUGCAGACGUGUUUGCAACCACUUAAGCAACGGACAUCGGACCCCAGAUGUUUCUGGAAGGCAGAACUUAUUGCAAUAUGCAUGUGUUCUUUAUCCCUUGGGAAGAACAACUAAUAUUAGUGCUGCACUGAUGAUCAGAGAGGCGUUCUCAAAGAACAAUUUAGCGGUCUGUCUGUCUUGUACUGCCCCCCGGUGGGCUAGGCAAAUACACCAGAAUGGACAGCAUAAUUGUAAGAGAAUGCUUGACAAAUGUUUAUUUUUAAGUCUUUUUAAAUCAUAUAAUUAGUAUGUGUUUUUAUAACGUGUGCUGUAACAAGCGUUUUCUGGUUGUGCGUUUAAUGUUUAAAGGUUUUACUUGAAUCCAAAAUAGACCCUCAUAAAAUUUCUCUGCAAGGUCCAAGAUCCAUAAGCAUUAUACGUACUUAUACAAUAGACACUUACAAAGGUUAAAUUGGCUUGAUUUUGGAAUAUUUGAACGCUCUUUUUCCUUUCUUCAUGGUCAGUCCAGCCUGCCCGAACGCUUCGUGGGUCACCUCCUCACCUCAACGUUCUCUCACCCCUCUCCUCCGGCCCUGGCCCUGCCCACCCCAGGUCAUUUAUCAUGGAGCAGGAGGGGCGCCUCCAGGCCUGCAGGCCCCUGUCAGCCACUGCAAUCGCCUCUUUGUGGCUCCCAGCAAACAAGUGUCGGAUCAGCAAAAGUCUAUUAAAGCCUGGUGGGCCUUUCUCAGCCAAUUGGGUCUGGGUCAGUGAGCCGCUCUCCUCGCUGCUCCGAGAGCUCUUUGUGUCGCCGCCGUUCGCUGACACAGAUCCCCACAAGAUUAAUGAUUUUUAGCAGCCACUUGGUUCUUACUCGCAAGAGUUGUAGCCCGUUUCUCUCAUUUUGCCCUCUCUUUUGGCCACUUGUAAUGCUUCCCUUUUCUCCCUUCAGCCCAUUUCUCAUACUCCAUCUCCUUAUUUUUUCCAUUCAACCCAGCCUGCUAACCCAAUCAAUGCUAACUGCAUUAGCAUAAACCUUACAAACCCACAAUACAUACACCAAAAGACAUUGCGUCUUAAUGGGCAUAUACCGCCAAGGAUACAACUCAAAUAUCUAAAUGUUCUAUCAGUAUUCAUGAGUACCGGAUGCAUUGGAAUAAUGUUGGUAUCGGCCCAAUAUCUACUCGCCCAUCCCUCGUCAUUAUCUUCCGAUUGCUAUUAAUGCCUAAUGAAUCCAAAGCAUGUUGAUAACCAACUUUCAAAUCCGCUUUACAAUCCAGGCAGUCGUCCUUGCGGCAAGUCUCAAGGGGUUCGGGGUAAUUUGAAAUCUUUCAGCCGCCUCUCACCAGUUCCAUGUUGGUCAUGUUCUCAGUGUUGUUUCCAGUAAUUACUGCAGGUUAAGUGCACGUCCCGGAGCCCAGCGGAGGCAGCUCUAUCCCUCACCUGGGACAUGACUCAGCAAGGCUCGGGUCAUCCGGCCAUUUCCCUGACCACUGGACCACACCCAGCCUACUCUAAAGCCGCAGCAGCAGCUCUCAUGUUCACUUACAUCAUGUAAUGCAAAGGUAGUUUUAUUUGCCGCCUGAUUGUUUCCUGAAACUCAGCCUCAGACCGGCGUCUGAAAAAAAUUUAACGACUGAUACGCAUGUUGUUUUUAACCCAACCAACUAUUGAUUUCUAUAUACAUACGUACUGGCCAACAUAUUCUUUAUUGUAAAAUUAAGUACUGGGAAGAUUAUAAUUUCAUGUUUUGAAUGUUUUGCUUUGACGUAAAAAAAAUCUCUCUCUCUCUCUCUCUCUCUCUCUCUCUCUCUCUCUCUCUCUCUCUCUCUCUCUCUCUCUCUCUCUCUCUCUCUCUCUCUCUCUCUCUCACAAAAACAGGAUCCUGUCGUUAUGUUUAUUUGAAGUUGAAUGGAUGAACUCAGCCCGCCUUUUCUUGCAAAAGAAUCUUCUCACCCGUGUUUUUUUUUGGUACCUGAGCUUUCAUGUAAACGGUUAUAGAUUGGAAGAUGCUGGCAUACUGGCAUUCCACAUCAUUACUCACACAGACCAGGAGAGACCACAGGCUGAGCUAUUCAGAGUACCCUCCACCUCACUCAUGCUCUCUCAUACAUACUGAAAGUGUAUACAUACACACACACUCACAAGCACGCAGACAUGUGAUUCAAACACAGGGUUCCUCCAUGGCGAGGCCUUUUUGUUUGCGCCCUUGCUCUUGACCUAUUCUCUUUUGACUUGUCCUAGUAUUUCAUUUCUACUUAUCCUCUCGCCUCUCUUUGCCUUGCUCUGGCUUGCUCUCAUCUCCAGGUUGGAGACAUUGCAAAUAGAACUAUGUGUGUGUCUACUGUAUUCAGAAUCAGGGUAAAUAGAAAUGUACACCAAAAUUAUUCAUAUUAUUAAGUAGUUGCCUGACAUUUGUAAAUUAUUCAUACUAUCAAGAAAGAAAAGUAGUCUGUCAUUUGUAAAUUUAACUUGUGUAACUUAGUCAAUAAAACACAAGUAUUGACAUAAAGGGUGAAGAAGGAAAGUUAGAGUGGAGAUAAAAAGUCUACACACCCCAGUUCAAAUGGCAGGUUUUUGUGUCCAAGCUAAAGGUUUUCCACUAUUCCUUAACUUAUAUCCUUUAGAACUCAAUUGAAAAAAUCAGAGGGAAAUUCCAUAGAAACAAAGUAAGUGCACACACUUGCUUAUAAAUGGAGAGUGUCUGUUCAGAAUUAAGCAAUCACAUUCACACUCAUUUUAAAUUAGUGUCGGCACACACUUGCCAAUAUGUAAAGGUGGCAGUGUAUGUAAAAUUCUCCUUUGGGUGCAAUUGUUAACAAAGGGUCAUUUUAAUCAGCUAGGUCCUCAUUACCUUUUAUUAAUUGUGCUAAGAAACAUAAACAAGAGCUUUCGUGUCCGUCAGAUUAGCUACCGCCCCAUAGUAAAAAGGCGAUACUGUUACAUAUCAUCACACAACUUUGCAGAAAAUAGAGCAAUAAAUCUAGAUAUGUGUCAACAACUAUCUAGUGUGUCAUGUGUGAUUCUGUGUUUGAGUCCAGAUAAGAUGUGUUUUGUGCUUUCAUAGCUUUAACGCUGCUUUUUUUGUAUGCAUGGGUCUGUAGCUGUAAUGUGCGUGUAUGUGUGUGUGAACGUGUGCGUGUGUGUGUAUGUGCACGCAGGGUGUGUGCAUGCGUUGGAGGGUGGUUUCUGUAAAUAAAUCUGUUUGGGGAAUGGGGGUGCACGGAUGAAAUAUGGUUCCAGGGAUGUGGAGCAAUGUGAAAAACUCGGCAAUGCCUGGGAAUAACAAAUCUCCUCAUGUCGCCUUCCUGCAAAAUAAAUACACUCCCCAUACAAGUCAUCCAUCUGGACGACGAGACACAGCAAAGAUGCCCCCAAUAGAUCCCCAACACACACACACACACACACACACACACACACACACACACACACACACACACACACAGGCUCGAGUGUACGAGUAUUUAUUUACACAUUUAAUUAAAUGAAAACUUCAAGGGAAUUAAAUGAGGUUUUCAUAGUACAAUUUUUGUUUUGAUGAAACGUGAUGUUGACAUACGACUUAUACCACCUUGGCAGGUACGUUUAGAACUAAAAUGAAUAAAACCAAUGGGAGACUGGAAAUGGGAAGCAGUGAAUAUUAGAAGAGGAUAGUUAAGUCUAAUGUUUGAUUUAAACCGUAUUCUCAGAAUGAUGCAAGCAGAUUUUACUCAGAA